Molecule: long non-coding RNA, 1895 nt
Filed under: Cyanoderma ruficeps (rufous-capped babbler)
Lineage: Eukaryota; Metazoa; Chordata; Aves; Passeriformes; Timaliidae
Description: lncRNA (ENSCRFG00000005907.1)
Source: RNAcentral
GAAUGGCUUUGCUGUUGUAAGGCCCCCAGGCCAUCAUGCUGAAGAAUCAACAGCCAUGGGGUUCUGCUUUUUUAAUUCGAUUGCAAUUGCUGCCAAAUACUUGAGAGACAAGCUAAAUAUAGGCAAGAUAUUGAUUGUAGAUCUGGAUGUUCACCAUGGCAACGGUACACAGCAGGCUUUUUAUGCUGACCCCAGCAUCCUGUAUGUUUCCCUCCAUCGCUAUGAUGAAGGCAACUUCUUCCCUGGCAGUGGAGCCCCAAAUGAGGUUGGAAGUGGCCCUGGCGAAGGGUAUAACAUAAAUAUUGCUUGGACAGGUGGCUUGGAUCCUCCUAUGGGUGACGUUGAGUAUCUCACAGCAUUCAGGACUGUGAUUAUGCCAGCUGCCAACGAGUUUGAUCCAGAAAUUGUCCUGGUGUCAGCAGGAUUCGAUGCUGUGGAAGGCCACGACCCUCCGCUGGGCGGGUACAAAGUCACAGCGAAAUGUUUUGGCCACCUGACCAAGCAGUUGCUGAAGCUGGCGGGUGGCCGCGUGGUGCUGGCGCUGGAGGGAGGACAUGACCUUACUGCCAUCUGUGACGCCUCUGAAGCCUGUAUAAAUGCCCUUCUAGGAAAUGAGCUGGAACCUCUCCCGGAAGAUAUUGUGCACCAAAUCCCCAAUAUGAAUGCAAUAGCUUCUUUAAAAAAGACCACUGAAAUUCAAAGCAAGUACUGGAAGUCAGUGGAGCCAUACUCUGUGCCAGUGGAUUGUGCUCUGGCUGAGUCUCAGAAGCAAGAGAGGGAGGAAACAGAAACAGUAUCUGCUAUGGCCUCUCUUUCAGUGGAUGUUGAGCAGUGUGUUCCUCAGGAAGACAGCAGAGCUGCUGGUGAGCCCAUGGAAGAAGAGCCAGCCUUGUGAAGUGCCAAGUCCUCCCUGAUAUUUCCUGUGGGUGACAUCAUUGUGUAUCCCCCAAAGCACCCUCAGACAUGUCUUGUCUGCUUCUUGGGUGGCACAGAUCAGAUGGAACAUAAACACUGGGCACAAAACUCGGAAUAGCAGCUUCACUUGUUCUUUGGAUGGACUUGAAAGAGCCCGAAAGAUUCCUUAAAUGUAACCGCCACAAUUCUGGAGUUACAGUAAAACGGACUUGGGAGAAAGAGCCUAGAGCAUGUAUUUUAAUGCUGUUUGACCCACUCACCAACACAAAUUGUGAAAUAGAGUAUUGCAAAAUUCUACAUGAUAGAUUAUAGAUAUGAGAAUUGCAACAGCCAGCAACAUACUCUGUGAACUCCAUGAAUCACUUUCUGACACUUUUUACUGGAUAAUUUUUUUCAUACUGUGUUAAAUUGUUAAUAGAAUUUGUUUUCUUUGCUCUGUGUAAUGAAGAAAAAAAAAACCCCACCCUUAUUUUACGUGCCAUUUUUUAACCUCCUGUAAUGAAUUCUUAGCUGAAUAAGUGAAAAGUGUUUAAAUUAUGAUGAGGGAUUUUAGCUAAAGGGAAAGCACUUCUUAUUGUACUAUAAAUCCCCUGAAGUACUGUGCUUGGUGGUGCUUUAUUUUCUCUUCCCUAUUCCUGGCCAUCCCGCCCCAUUUCAUGUAAUCUUUUCUAUCAUAAAAACACACUCACGGUUCUCUACAAUGAUCUUUUGCCUUUAAGAAAACGUGCUGUACCCUCCGUAGUUGACAGUAGCGCUCACCAUAUGUGCAGCAGAGAUCAAGUAUGGAUAGUUUUUCAAACGUGUUUUUGGUUUGUUCUGAAAUGUUUCUGCGUUCUGACUCCAAAGCAGCGACCUUCCGUAACUUCAGUGCAGCUCAUUUGAAGCUCAGGUGUUUCUGUGGAGGUUGUGUGGGAGUGUUUUUUUACAGGUCGUGAUGUGGAUACGAACUGAUUCUUUUAUGUAGUCCUGCACCAAGAGAA